This 497-nucleotide ribosomal RNA is filed under the name uncultured bacterium. RNAcentral's name for it is "partial 16S ribosomal RNA". It matches the Rfam family "Bacterial small subunit ribosomal RNA", at positions 28 to 507 of the family's 1533-position model. The record is from RNAcentral.
GAUGAACGCUGGCGGCGUGCCUAAUACAUGCAAGUCGAGCGAACAGACGAGGAGCUUGCUCCUCUGAUGUUAGCGGCGGACGGGUGAGUAACACGUGGAUAACCUACCUAUAAGACUGGGAUAACUUCGGGAAACUGGAGCUAAUACCGGAUAAUAUAUUGAACCGCAUGGUUCAAUAGUGAAAGACGGUUUUGCUGUCACUUAUAGAUGGAUCCGCGCCGCAUUAGCUAGUUGGUAAGGUAACGGCUUACCAAGGCGACGAUGCGUAGCCGACCUGAGAGGGUGAUCGGGCAACCCUGGACUUGGGAACGGGCCCGACCUCCUAGGGGAGGAACCAUUGGGGAUUCUGCCGAAAGGGGCGAAAGCUUGACGAGGCAAGGCGGCGUGAGGGAGAAAGGUCUCCGGUUCGUAAACCUUUUUUAUUAGGGAAGAACAAAGUGGUAAGUAACUAUGACAGUCUGAACGGUACUAAUUCAGAAGGCCCCGGCAAAUAAGUG